AGUCUUAUAGUCAAUAAUGACAUCAAAUUGCAAGUUUGGUGGUGGGUUUCCCUAAGGCUU
RNAcentral lists this transfer RNA (60 nucleotides) under Kirchnerius guangxii. Its description in RNAcentral is "tRNA-Cys". The record is from RNAcentral. Lineage: Eukaryota; Metazoa; Arthropoda; Insecta; Coleoptera; Lucanidae.